RNAcentral lists this ribosomal RNA (623 nucleotides) under Meyerozyma guilliermondii. Its description in RNAcentral is "eukaryotic LSU rRNA". The stretch from base 229 to 382 matches the Rfam family "5.8S ribosomal RNA". The record is from RNAcentral. Lineage: Eukaryota; Fungi; Ascomycota; Pichiomycetes; Serinales; Debaryomycetaceae.
UCGGAAGGAAUAAUGUAUGCUACAAGGUUUCCGUAGGUGAACCUGCGGAAGGAUCAUUACAGUAUUCUUUUGCCAGCGCUUAACUGCGCGGCGAAAAACCUUACACACAGUGUCUUUUUGAUACAGAACUCUUGCUUUGGUUUGGCCUAGAGAUAGGUUGGGCCAGAGGUUUAACAAAACACAAUUUAAUUAUUUUUACAGUUAGUCAAAUUUUGAAUUAAUCUUCAAAACUUUCAACAACGGAUCUCUUGGUUCUCGCAUCGAUGAAGAACGCAGCGAAAUGCGAUAAGUAAUAUGAAUUGCAGAUUUUCGUGAAUCAUCGAAUCUUUGAACGCACAUUGCGCCCUCUGGUAUUCCAGAGGGCAUGCCUGUUUGAGCGUCAUUUCUCUCUCAAACCCCCGGGUUUGGUAUUGAGUGAUACUCUUAGUCGGACUAGGCGUUUGCUUGAAAAGUAUUGGCAUGGGUAGUACUAGAUAGUGCUGUCGACCUCUCAAUGUAUUAGGUUUAUCCAACUCGUUGAAUGGUGUGGCGGGAUAUUUCUGGUAUUGUUGGCCCGGCCUUACAACAACCAAACAAGUUUGACCUCAAAUCAGGUAGGAAUACCCGCUGAACUUAAGCUAUAG